Long non-coding RNA from Morus notabilis, 192 nucleotides. RefSeq lists it as uncharacterized. NCBI's taxonomy places the organism in Eukaryota, Viridiplantae, Streptophyta, Magnoliopsida, Rosales, Moraceae. The record is from RefSeq and is a predicted model, not a curated record. The transcript has 3 exons.
AGCGAAUCCAUAUUGGCAUGGAAGAUCUAAGGAUUCAAAGGAAACGAGCCAUUCGUUGUUAAUUAGAAGAAUUUAAAAGUCAUCUGCCUAAUCGGACAACGCGCUUCCGCAAUUUUUCCAUGCAAUUUGUUUUUCGGAACCAACAUCAUGCACACGAAACAUUAAGUGAGAUAUACAAAUUUAUACUACGGA